CUAUCCCUAACACUACUGAUAGGGUGCAGUGUUGAGCACACAGUGUCAGGUUUAACAAGAACUAUCCCUCACACUACUGAUAGGGUGCAGUGUUGAGCAUGCAGUGUCAGGUUUAACAAGAACUAUCCCUCACACUACUGAUAGGGUGCAGUGUUGAGCACACAGUGUCAGGUUUAACAAGAACUACCCUUCUCACUACUCAUUAUUGUAAGGGACCUCGUUAGGAUGAGAAAGCCAAAAUAACUCGGCGUGCCUUGUGGCAGCAACAGUUGUAUACUCCCCAGGGAGUUGAGAUUGAUAAUAAGAUGUGCCUGUGAGAUUGACAUCCAAUGAUUGAGGGGAAAAAUACCAGCGCCUUGAGCAUGCGCUAGUGCAUGGAUAUGUGCGCUAUAUAAAUAUCCAAUAAUAAAUAAUAAUGAAAAAUAAAGAUGGUAGAGCGUUAAGCAUUCAGUCUCAGGGUUCACAGAAACUCUCCCUAUAGUUACUUCUGCUUGUGGAGGUAUGAAUUGUUCAGAAUUGGUCAACUGCUGGUCAUAAGAGGUGGCAGAAUGGAUCAGGUGGUCAUUGUACCAUCAUCCCUGACAUCUUUGCUCAUAAUAUCAAUCACAAGAUUGUCUGAUCCAGACUUGAUUAUCUACAAGUCAUAUAGCUGCUGUCAUUGCUGCUGGGAAAUAUGGUGCAUUGUUGAACAUCAUUCUAAUGAAUUCAGUGUCAGUUUGGGUUUACCAAUAAUGUGUUGUUGCUCCGUCUUUAUGACAAUCAUGUUUGUGAAAGGAGGUACAGUGUACAGACAUUCUUCUGAAAUGAAUCUAGUAGAAUAUGGCUGUAUAUAAAUAGUGGGGGUAGAAGGUACUGCUUUGUUACAGUAGGUUGUUGAUGUUAUGUCCAGAAUUGUAUUUUGUGAAGUUUCUGAUCCUUUAAAUGUUUGUUUCCGAUAUUAUCAUGUAUCUUUCUAUCUCCUUGUUACUGAUACCUGCCCUGGUACCAGUCUGUUGUUAUGUUUACCCAAGUCUAGUGUUGUGAUAAAGGUGGACAUUGUGAAACGAGACUGUUAUGGAGUCGUCACGUACAUGGAUGUACACUAUAAAUGUUCUAUGAACUUCUUUAAGUUUUACAAUGGUUCGUUUUUCUCCAAUAGUCAUAAUAAAUUCACUUCAGGACAGACAGAUGGGCGAAGUUCCUCAUGCCCAAGGCUUGUCUACAGUUGGUCUCCCCUUAUUGUGAUAUUGAAGGAACAAAAAAGUCAGCUCCACUCCCAUUAUUAUUCACUGAUAUCAGUAUUUAGCAAUGUUGGAAAAAUGAUGAUUUUUUC
This is a long non-coding RNA of Haliotis rubra (blacklip abalone), 1312 nucleotides long. RefSeq lists it as uncharacterized. The record is from RefSeq and is a predicted model, not a curated record. The transcript is spliced from 2 exons. NCBI's taxonomy places the organism in Eukaryota, Metazoa, Mollusca, Gastropoda, Lepetellida, Haliotidae.